Stegodyphus dumicola is the source of this 3132-nucleotide long non-coding RNA. NCBI's taxonomy places the organism in Eukaryota, Metazoa, Arthropoda, Arachnida, Araneae, Eresidae. The record is from RefSeq and is a predicted model, not a curated record.
ACUUCGGUGAUCGGACGAGAACCGGUACUUUCAGCAUAGUAUGGCCGUUGACAUUUACAAUAUACAGAAAUAAAUAACAUGUACGUAACCCAAAACUCUGAGUUCAAAAGUAUUCCUUUACUUGAUGCACAUCUGUGAUAUUUUUUUUUAUGAAUCAUAAAGGUUAUGAAGCAUUUCCCAUUGGGAAACAUAUUUUUUUUAUAGCUGGGUGGGAAACAAUAAAUUAGAAGGUUGGAUGGAAAUUAAAGCAGUUGGAUGAGAACGAGCUGGUGACAAGAAAAAGAGGAAAAAGCGCAGGAAGGAAUCUUUCGCUAUUUAUAUCUACAAGGUUUUGAAACAGGUUCAUCCCGACAUUGGUAUUUCCAGCAAAGCAAUGUCCAUCACGAAUUCCUUCGUUAACGACAUCUUUGAGAGAAUUGCAGCAGAAUUUUUUCGUUUAGCUCAUUACAAUAAGAGGAGUACUAUCACUAGGCAAGAAACUCAAACUGCAGUACGACUGUUGUUGCCUGAUGAACUGGCAAAACAUGCUGUUGGGGAAGGUACCAAAGCUAUCACCAAGUACACCAGCUCUAAAUAAAUUUUCAAAGCUUUCUUUAUAAAAAAAGGCCCUAAUGAUAAAGAUUAGCUGUUGCCUGCUUAUCCUUAAAUUCUAUGCCACAUAUCACUCAUUUCACAUAGGCAUUCUUAAAGGAAUUCACACUUACUCUUUGCAAAAGAAUUUAAUGAUAUACUUCAACUUUGCAAGUUGACAUCUCAGCUCAUCUUUAUCCUUGUUGCUCUGCAUCCAAUUUCUUUCUUUCAAAAUGUGGAUCUAAUCCUAUAUACGCACAAUAAUGAGAGGUGAAAUAAGUCUAUGCUUUGCCUUUCAUGAUUCCUUGGUAUCAAAAUUCAUUGGCUGACAUCAGCCUUAAUAGCUUUCAAUGCAGUUGUUUUUCCAUAAGUUUGCUAUUUAUCAAAUUCAGCAAAAUGUCUUCAUAUCAGUGUUGUUGCUUUCAGGUGUAUGCAUCACGAAUCGUUUGAACUUCUGGUUCUGUGCACUUAUCGAAUAUAAAACAUUUGAUUUUGUCAGUAGUAACAACAAAUUCGAUGAAAGUCCUUUCCUUUCACAAAGUGAAUUAAUGUUGCAUCUCAUAACCAUCAGAUUUCAGCUGUGUGAGAUGAUAUUCCAUUUGCAUUAAAUGACCUAAUUAAAGUGAAGAUGACUUCUUGUUUCUAAACACAAGGUAUUACCUCACUUUCAUGUAAAUUUUUCAAAUAUGCUUAAAUGGAAGUAGUUCUAAAUAUUGUACUACUAGUUCAAUGAUGAUAACAAGAUUCUAAUUAUCAGGUACAACAAUGAACAUAGCUGUCUUUCGGUAUGUCAGCAACUGCUUAUUUAUUUUUUCUACCUCAUCAGAAAGCGAUACUGACUACUCAAAUGAGAACUGAUACUGCAUUCAUGUUUAAAUCUGAUUAUGUCACUCAAUAUAAAUUGCAAUAAAUUCGGUAUCCAUCAAGGAAUACUCUCUAAAUUAAGAGUGCUAUGUCAGUAAGCAUUUCUAAUCCACAGCAAGAACACUCUUCCAACUUUCCAGCUCAGAACAUGUAUGUAAUAUGAUUAAUAAGUUUGAAAAAAAAAACUAUUUAGUUUUUCAUAUGAUAGACCAAGCAUUUGGAAUUACAGAAUAUUUUUCUUUUUAAAAAAUAUAUCAUAAACACUAAACAUUAAACACAAUAAAUACUCAUAGAAUUUCCAAUUUUAUAUUCAACAUAAAAGGGUAAAACGUAAUCAAAGCACAUGCAUGAUGAAAAUUUCAAAUACAUAGUAAAAUAUUCACAUGAAGAUCCACUAUGAUAAGUGGAAGCCUUCACCAAGCAUUUAGAAUUAUGGGAUAUCCUUCUUUUUUCCAAAACAAUUAUUAUAAAAAAUAAACAUUUAUACACCAGAAAGAAAAACUAAGAAGAAAAAUAUGGUUUUUGAAAAAUGCUUUUAUCCUACAAAUUUUCCUAUUACUUAUGGAAUAAACUUACCUUUCAAUAAAAACUACAUUCCUAUUUAUAUAUAUUACAGAUUUAGUUGAACAAUGCUAAGUUCUUGAACAUUCUUUACCCUAAACAUGCACCAUCUUGCUAUACAGGAUGCAAUUUGAUCUGACCACUUUAUAAGUUGAGUGAUCACUUCAGCACAACAGAACUCUUUUGAACAAUGAAUUCUAUUGCAUCUGCCUGCCCCACUCUGAAAUAGAUAUCGAGGGUUAAUUUGCAUUUCAAUAGCUAUUUACAUACAGUGUAAGUGGCAACAGUUGUAUUGCCUCACUGAAUGAUUCCAGUACUUUCCUGCAAUGUGUUUUGAUUCUGUGUGACAUUAUUUAGUGUAGAAAUAAAAUUUAUAAAACUUCUUUGUUUCCUUUUCCCAUUUAUGUAAUUAAGUAUUUUCAAUAAAAGAAAGCCAUACCUAAAUCAACUUACCUGGAUAGUUAUUUAUGUUUAGAGAAUUUAAAUAUAUAUGCAGAUCUGCUCCAGCAUAGCAUUUCUUCUACUUUUUUUUUUACAUUCUGAAAUUCAAGUCUUUUAAUAAACAGCUGUGUAGAGCUUACUUUUUCGUUAUAUAUAUAUAUAUAAAUAAAGUAGGGGUAUUGCUUGUCUGAAAAGUUCUGGUUUUAACAUUUCUUAAAUACGUUAUUGCAUUUACAGGAUUAUCUAAAAUAUAUGAAUUAUUAAUUUCAUUUUUUUGUCUUUAUGAAAAAUUUGAUCUAAAUUACUUACUUUAUGUCUUUACUGAUAAUUUUUCAGCAGCUUCAUGCGUGAAAAUAGCACUAGGCAUGUGUGAUAUGAAAUUAAGAACUACUGAGUUCAGGCAAUCAACAAAAUUAAGAUAUUUAAUAUAAAUGAAUUGUGCCAAACUACCUCACUGCAAGGCAGAAACUGAAAGCAAUUAAAGAGGAUGGAAAAAACAACAACAACAACAAAAAAAAAAAAAAAAAAAAAGGUUGCAUUAUGUUUUCUUUUAUAUUGAAUACUAUGCUCAAUAACUGUUAAAAAUGUCAUGACAUGAACUACGUUUUCCAUAUGUAACAGCACUUACAGCUUUAGUGAUUUGGUUGUAACUGACUGGUGUUUGAUUUGGCCGAAUAAAUCACAGUUCUUAAUUUC